CAGAUAGCUCAGUCGGUAGAGCAGAGGAUUGAAAAUCCUCGUGUCGGCGGUUCGACUCCGUCUCUGGG
Molecule: transfer RNA, 68 nt
Filed under: Pseudomonas putida
Lineage: Bacteria; Pseudomonadati; Pseudomonadota; Gammaproteobacteria; Pseudomonadales; Pseudomonadaceae
Also listed under: 4 other names
Rfam family: tRNA
About the family: Transfer RNA (tRNA) molecules are approximately 80 nucleotides in length. Their secondary structure includes four short double-helical elements and three loops (D, anti-codon, and T loops).
Source: RNAcentral